UACGUAGGGGGCGAGCGUUGUCCGGAUUUAUUGGGCGUAAAGAGCUCGUAGGCGGUUUGGUAAGUCGGGUGUGAAAUCUCCACGCUCAACGUGGAGGGGCCACUCGAUACUGCCAUGACUCGAGUCCGGUAGAGGAGUGUGGAAUUCCCGGUGUAGCGGUGAAAUGCGCAGAUAUCGGGAGGAACACCCGUAGCGAAGGCGGCACUCUGGGCCGGAACUGACGCUGAGGAGCGAAAGCCAGGGUAGCGAACGGG
RNAcentral lists this ribosomal RNA (254 nucleotides) under uncultured bacterium. Its description in RNAcentral is "partial 16S ribosomal RNA". It matches the Rfam family "Bacterial small subunit ribosomal RNA", at positions 524 to 776 of the family's 1533-position model. The record is from RNAcentral.